AGAAGGAGCUGUUGAACGAGUACAACGAUGUGAAUAUGCUGAACUCACUCAUACAAAAGAAUAUCCGUUACGGGGUACGCAUCAAGGAUGUAGAGAUUAACACACAAACGAUACCCGUUUCCGGAAAGAUAAUCUUCACGCAGACCGGGUACCGGGCACGGGGAAGCAUCUCACGUAAUAUCGAAGCGGAGUUCACCAUCUAUGAUAUGCUGUCCC
RNAcentral lists this unclassified non-coding RNA (216 nucleotides) under soil metagenome. RNAcentral's name for it is "partial internal transcribed spacer 1". The record is from RNAcentral.